CCUACGGGAGGCAGCAGUGAGGAAUAUUGGUCAAUGGCCGGAAGGCUGAACCAGCCAUGCCGCGUGAAGGUCAGUGCCCUAUGGGCGUUAAACUUCUUUUGUGCGGGAGCAAUAAUGGUCACGUGUGGCCAGACGAGAGUACCGUACGAAUAAGCAUCGGCUAACUCCGUGCCAGCAGCCGCGGUAAUACGGGGGAUGCAAGCGUUAUCCGGAUUUAUUGGGUUUAAAGGGUGCGUAGGCUGUGAGGUAAGUCAGCGGUGAAAUGCCCCCGCUCAACGGGGUGAAGUGCCAUUGAUACUGCCUGGCUGGAAUGCGGAUGACGUGGGAGGAAUGUGUGGUGUAGCGGUGAAAUGCAUAGAUAUCACACAGAACACCGAUUGCGAAGGCAUCUCACGAAUCCGCGAUUGACGCUGAUGCACGAAAGCGUGGGUAUCAAACAGGAUUAGAUACCCUAGUAGUC
This 460-nucleotide ribosomal RNA is filed under the name uncultured bacterium. RNAcentral's name for it is "partial 16S ribosomal RNA". It matches the Rfam family "Bacterial small subunit ribosomal RNA", at positions 338 to 795 of the family's 1533-position model. The record is from RNAcentral.